Long non-coding RNA from Erigeron canadensis, 794 nucleotides. RefSeq lists it as uncharacterized. The record is from RefSeq and is a predicted model, not a curated record. The transcript has 4 exons. NCBI's taxonomy places the organism in Eukaryota, Viridiplantae, Streptophyta, Magnoliopsida, Asterales, Asteraceae.
CAUCUCUAGAAUUCAUGUAAUCUUCUCAGCUUCUCUUGGAAAGUUUCUAUCUGCACGACUAAGAACUAUAUUCAGAGAAUUCAAUGGGAGUGGCCAAAAUGGAGAAGCAAGGGUGGCUACACUUGUAAGUAUAUUUAAUGUGCCUGCAUAGACUCCAAAAGAUAAGUUCAGAGGCAGAAUUCGAAUAUUCCUUGUGUAUAUUCAUGUGUUCCAGGAGAUGGCACAUGUUUUCUCUAAUUCGAAAGAGCUGAAUCUGGGGAGAAACCCCAAAAGUCCCACAAUGAAAAGCAACAAUUAAGUGACAAUGAGAACCAGCAGUUGCUUAUCAAGUGUAUCACACAAUAUUUUGGGUUCUCGAGUGGCAAGCCAAUUGCUGCUAGCAUUCUACAUUGGAGGUCAUUUUUAGUUGAAAGAACUACCGUGUUUGACUGGAUUAUCCAAAUCAUUGCUUUGGCUAUAGAUAUUCCACAUCUCACAGAAGUUGACGAUUAGCUUGAACUACAUAAGUUCCCUACGGACAGAAGAAAUAAGGUGGUGUUACAUCUUAUAAUCAUCACAGCCUCUUGGUGCAUCUGGAAAUCAAGAAGUGGCAAAAUUCAUGAUAAUAGUUCCAUCCAUUUGUUGAAGCUUAAAUAGGACAUUAGAUCACUCUCUUUUCUUUGGAUAAAAUAAAGAUCAACAUUUAGAAACAUCUCAAGGGAGGAUUGGUGUAAUUCUACUUUUUAAAGACAUGUACUUUUGUAUUCCAGCUAGCUCCUUGCUAGGGUUUCUGUUAAUGAAAGUUGUUGGAAAAA